RNAcentral lists this transfer RNA (71 nucleotides) under Loxodonta africana (African savanna elephant). It matches the Rfam family "tRNA". Rfam says of the family: Transfer RNA (tRNA) molecules are approximately 80 nucleotides in length. Their secondary structure includes four short double-helical elements and three loops (D, anti-codon, and T loops). Lineage: Eukaryota; Metazoa; Chordata; Mammalia; Proboscidea; Elephantidae. The record is from Rfam by way of RNAcentral.
GCAGUAGUGGUUCAGUGGUAGAAUCCUCGCCUUCCAUGUAGGAGACCUGGGUUUGAUUCCCGGCCAGUGCA